Molecule: ribosomal RNA, 293 nt
Filed under: Carapoia viridis
Lineage: Eukaryota; Metazoa; Arthropoda; Arachnida; Araneae; Pholcidae
Description: partial 12S ribosomal RNA
Source: RNAcentral
CUAAAAAUUGGCGGUUAUAAUAACUUAGAGAAACUUGUUUUAUAAUCGACAUUACCCGAUAAUUUUUACUUAAUAAAUUAUAGUUUAUAUACCGCCGUUUACUUAGAAACAAUAAAAACAAAAAUUCACAAUCAAAAACCUAUAAAAAUCAGGUCAAGGUGUAAUCUUUUUUUAAGAAAAAAUAAGUUACAUUUAAAUAUAAUUUAAGGAAUUAAAAUUUAAAUUUUAAAAGAAAAAGAAUCUACAAUUAAUUUUAAAUUAAAAAUUUAAAUAGAAAACAAUUAUUAUGAUGC